UUUGGUUAAGUUAGAAAGGGCGCACGGUGGAUGCCUUGGCACUAGGAGCCGAAGAAGGACGCGACGAACGGCGAAACGCCUCGGGGAGCUGUAAGUAAGCUUUGAUCCGGGGAUAUCCGAAUGGGGGAACCCACCAUCCGUAAUGGGAUGGUACCCAUACCUGAAUCUAUAGGGUAUGAGGAGGCAGACCUGGGGAACUGAAACAUCUAAGUACCCAGAGGAAGAGAAAGCAAAUGCGAUUUCCUGAGUAGCGGCGAGCGAAACGGGAACAGCCCAAACCAAGAGGCUUGCCUCUUGGGGUUGUAGGACACUCUAUACGGAGUCAGAAAGAAACGAAGUAGGUGAAGCGACCUGGAAAGGUCCGUCACAGAAGGUAACAACCCUGUAGCCGAAACUUCGUUUCCUCCAGAGUGGAUCCUGAGUACGGCGGGACACGUGAAACCCCGUCGGAAGCUGGGAGGACCAUCUCCCAAGGCUAAAUACUCCCUAGUGACCGAUAGUGAACCAGUACCGUGAGGGAAAGGUGAAAAGCACCCCGGAAGGGGAGUGAAAAAGAUCCUGAAACCGUGUGCCUACAACUAGUUGGAGCCCAUUAACGGGUGACAGCGUGCCUUUUGUAGAAUGAACCGGCGAGUUACGAUGUCGUGCAAGGUUAAGCUGAAAAAGCGGAGCCGCAGCGAAAGCGAGUCUGAAUAGGGCGAAAUAGUACGCCGUCGUAGACCCGAAACCGUGUGAUCUACCCAUGUCCAGGGUGAAGUUCAGGUAACACUGAAUGGAGGCCCGAACCCACGCAUGUUGAAAAAUGCGGGGAUGAGGUGUGGGUAGGGGUGAAAUGCCAAUCGAACUCGGAAAUAGCUGGUUCUCCCCGAAAUAGCUUUAGGGCUAGCCUCGAGGGAAGAGUCUUGGAGGUAGAGCACUGAUUGGACUAGGGGUCCCCACCGGAUUACCGAAUUCAGUCAAACUCCGAAUGCCAAUGACUUAUCCUCGGGAGUCAGACUGCGAGUGCUAAGAUCCGUAGUCAAGAGGGAAACAGCCCAGACCAUCAGCUAAGGUCCCAAAGUAUACGUUAAGUGGAAAAGGAUGUGGAGUUGCCCAGACAACCAGGAUGUUGGCUUAGAAGCAGCCACCAUUUAAAGAGUGCGUAAUAG
This 1148-nucleotide ribosomal RNA is filed under the name Brevibacillus formosus. RNAcentral's name for it is "bacterial LSU rRNA". It matches the Rfam family "Bacterial large subunit ribosomal RNA", at positions 1 to 1140 of the family's 2925-position model. Lineage: Bacteria; Bacillati; Bacillota; Bacilli; Caryophanales; Paenibacillaceae. The record is from RNAcentral.